This is a small nucleolar RNA of Mustela erminea (ermine), 86 nucleotides long. RefSeq annotates it as small nucleolar RNA U83B. Lineage: Eukaryota; Metazoa; Chordata; Mammalia; Carnivora; Mustelidae. The transcript has a single exon. The record is from RefSeq and is a predicted model, not a curated record.
CCAGAUCUUUGAGGCUGUGGAAUGAGCGUGGGCACAUGGCCUGAGUAAGAUUCCAGAAACUUGCUUCCCUGCCUUCUGAGAACAGC